AGCUCCAAUAGCGUAUAUUAAAGUUGUUGCAGUUAAAAAGCUCGUAGUCUGAGUCUUGGCUGGCGGUGCGCGUCUUGUGGCUUUCCUUUUUGGGGGUCACACGUAUGCAUUAUCCGUUUUGGCCGAUUUUGUACUUCGGAGGAACGCGUGUGCUUUUCAUUAAGUGCGCGAUUCGGGAUUCCGAUAGUUUACUUUGAGAAAAAUAGAGUGUUCAAAGCAGGCGUUUUUUGCCAACUUUUGAAUACAUUAGCAUGGGAUAAUGGAAUAGGACAUUGGUUUUUCCUAUUUUGUUGGUUUACGGACCGAUGUAAUGAUUAACAGGAACAGUUGGGGACAUUUAUAUUCCAUGGCUAGAGGUGAAAUUCUUGGAUUCAUGGAAGAUAAACUACUGCGAAAGCAUUUGUCAAAGAUGUUUUCA
RNAcentral lists this ribosomal RNA (418 nucleotides) under uncultured eukaryote. RNAcentral describes it as "SSU rRNA". It matches the Rfam family "Eukaryotic small subunit ribosomal RNA", at positions 587 to 972 of the family's 1831-position model. The record is from RNAcentral.